CGCCAUUCUCCUGCCUCAGCCUCCCGAGUACGCGGGACCACAGGCGCCUGCCAUCAUGCCCGGCUAAUUUUUUUUUGUUUGUUUUUGUUUUUUUGUAUUGUUAGUAGAGACGGGGUUUCACCAUGUUAGCCAGGAUGGUCUUGAUGUCCUGACCUCGUGACCCGCCCGCCUCGGCCUCCCAAAGUGCGAAUGAAAGCUUUAAGAGGGCUGCUUGUUUCUGGCAGCUCUCAGGUUCUUCCUGUCUGCCUCAGAAGUGGCAUAUUCCACAUACGGGCUGCAUCUUCAGUCUGGACUCAUCCUCUUCAAGAUGAGACAGGUGGAGCAGAGCUGCCACCAACCUCCGGUGAUUUCCACACAAUGUGUCCUAGAAGAAGAGACCCUACACUGGGCUUGUGACCAGCGGAAACUGAAUCAAUGCUGGAGACACAUUCUAACAGUCGAAUGGGCAGCUCACAGGAGGAAAAUCUGGAUAAGUGAUUCAUCUAUGAAGGGGAUGCACUAUAAUGGUUGGAAAGCCAAAGAUCAAGUUGCCAGCAGAUUUGAUGUCUGAUGAGAGUUGCUGUCUGUCCCCAAGAUGUAGCCUUGUUACUGCAUACUCUGGAUGGAAAGGACACUGGGUCCUCACAAG
Molecule: long non-coding RNA, 628 nt
Filed under: Homo sapiens (human)
Lineage: Eukaryota; Metazoa; Chordata; Mammalia; Primates; Hominidae
Description: HSALNT0069837
Source: RNAcentral